AGAGUUUGAUCAUGGCUCAGGACGAACGCUGGGCGGCGUGCUUAACACAUGCAAGUCGAGCGGGGUUUAUCGGAUUAGCUUGCUAAACUGAUAAACCUAGCGGCGGACGGGUGAGUAACGCGUGAGCAAUCUGCCUCAUACAGGGGGAUAACAGGUGGAAACACCUGCUAAUACCGCAUAAGACUCCACUACCGCAUGGUAGAGAAGUCAAAGGGAUUACCGGUAUGAGAUGAGCUCGCGUCCCAUUAGCUAGUUGGUAGGGUAAAGGCCUACCAAGGCGACGAUCAGUAGCCGACCUGAGAGGGUGAUCGGCCACACUGGAACUGAGACACGGUCCAGACUCCUACGGGAGGCAGCAUUGGGGAAUAUUGCACAAUGGGCGAAAGCCUGAUGCAGCAACGCCGCGUGAGCGAUGAAGGCCUUCGGGUCGUAAAGCUCUGUACUCAAGGAAGAUAAUGACGGUACUUGAGGAGGAAGCCCCGGCUAACUACGUGCCAGCAGCCGCGGUAAUACGUAGGUGGCAAGCGUUGUCCGGAAUUAUUGGGCGUAAAGCGCGCGCAGGUGGUUUCUUAAGUCUGAUGUGAAAGCCCACGGCUCAACCGUGGAGGGUCAUUGGAAACUGGGAAACUUGAGUGCAGAAGAGGAUAGUGGAAUUCCAAGUGUAGCGGUGAAAUGCGUAGAGAUUUGGAGGAACACCAGUGGCGAAGGCGACUAUCUGGUCUGUAACUGACACUGAGGCGCGAAAGCGUGGGGAGCAAACAGGAUUAGAUACCCUGGUAGUCCACGCCGUAAACGAUGAGUGCUAAGUGUUGGGGGGUUUCCGCCCCUCAGUGCUGCAGCUAACGCAUUAAGCACUCCGCCUGGGGAGUACGGUCGCAAGACUGAAACUCAAAUGAAUUGACGG
Molecule: ribosomal RNA, 904 nt
Filed under: uncultured bacterium
Lineage: Bacteria
Description: bacterial SSU rRNA
Rfam family: Bacterial small subunit ribosomal RNA
Source: RNAcentral